This 301-nucleotide ribosomal RNA is filed under the name uncultured bacterium. Its description in RNAcentral is "partial 16S ribosomal RNA". It matches the Rfam family "Bacterial small subunit ribosomal RNA", at positions 509 to 807 of the family's 1533-position model. The record is from RNAcentral.
CAGCCGCCGCGGUAAUACGAAGGGUGCAAGCGUUACUCGGAAUUACUGGGCGUAAAGCGCACGUAGGCGGAUACUUAAGUCAGGGGUGAAAUCCCGGGGCUCAACCCCGGAACUGCCUUUGAUACUGGGUAUCUCGAGUCCGGAAGAGGUGAGUGGAAUUCCGAGUGUAGAGGUGAAAUUCGUAGAUAUUCGGAGGAACACCAGUGGCGAAGGCGGCUCACUGGUCCGGUACUGACGCUGAGGUGCGAAAGCGUGGGGAGCAAACAGGAUUAGAUACCCCUGUAGUCCCUGUCUCUUAUAC